This 244-nucleotide ribosomal RNA is filed under the name uncultured bacterium. RNAcentral describes it as "partial 16S ribosomal RNA". It matches the Rfam family "Bacterial small subunit ribosomal RNA", at positions 118 to 366 of the family's 1533-position model. The record is from RNAcentral.
UGAGCGACCUGCCGAUCUGCGGGGGAUAGCCGGCCAACGGCCGGGUAAUACCGCAUACGCUCCCCUCCGGGCAUCCGGGGGGCGAGGAAACCUCCGGGGCGGAUCGAGGGCUCGCGGCCUAUCAGCUAGUUGGGGGGUAACGCCUCCCAAGGCGGCGACGGGUAGCUGGUCUGAGAGGAUGGGCAGCCACAUUGGGACUGAGACACGGCCCAGACUACUACGGGAGGCAGCAGUGGGAAUAUUG